Molecule: ribosomal RNA, 924 nt
Filed under: uncultured archaeon
Lineage: Archaea
Description: bacterial SSU rRNA
Rfam family: Archaeal small subunit ribosomal RNA
Source: RNAcentral
CAGCAGCCGCGGUAAUACCAGCGCCCCGAGUAGUAUCCACGAAUAUUGGGCCUAGAGCGUUCGUAGCCGGUCAAGUUAGUCUUCUGUGAAAUGUUGGGGCUCAACCCCAACGCGUGCAGGAGAUACUGCUAGACUAGGGAACGGAGGAGGACAGGAGUACACCUGGGGUAGGGGUAAAAUCCGUUGAGCCUGGGUGGACUACCAGUGGCGAAGGCGCCUGUCUAAGACGUAUCCGACGGUGAGGGACGAAAGCUGGGGGAGCGAACGGGAUUAGAUACCCCGGUAGUCCCAGCUGUAAAUAAUGCAGACUUUGGUGUUUCAUAUGAGUAAUCAUAUGAAGUGCUGUAGCGUAGGUGUUAAGUCUGCCGCCUGGGGAGUACGGUCGCAAGACUUAAACUUAAAGGAAUUGGCGGGGGAGCACCACAAGCCGUGGAUGCUACGGUUUAAUUGGAUACAACGCCGGGAAUAUCACCAUGGACGACGGCAGGAUGAAGGUCAGAUUAAAGGUCUUGCCUGAUAAGCCGAGAGGUAUUGCAUGGCCAUCGUCAGCUCGUGGCGUGAACGCAUAACGAUUCCGUAUGGAAACGGAAUGCGGUGUAAACUGUCCGGUUAAGUCCGGCAACGAGCGAGACCCAUACCUUUAGUUGCUAAUUUCAUCUCCGGAUGAGAUGCACUCUAGAGGGACUGCCCGUGUUAAAUGGGAGGAAGGAGUGGGCGACGGUAGGUCAGUAUGGUCCGAAAUCCAUGGGCUACACGCGGCAUACAAUGGCUGGAACAAUGGGCUGCAACUUCGAAAGAAGACGCUAAUCCCCUAAAUCCAGUCGAAGUUCGGAUUGAGGGUUGCAACUCACCCUCAUGAAGCUGGAAUGGCUAGUAAUCGCGGGUCAACAUCCUGCGGUGAAUGUGUCCCUGCCCCUUGCACAC